CCUACGGGUGGCAGCAGUGAGGAAUAUUGGUCAAUGGACGCAAGUCUGAACCAGCCAUGCCGCGUGAAGGAUGAAGGCCUUCUGGGUUGUAAACUUCUUUUAUUAGGGAAGAAACCUCCGAUUUCUAUUGGAGCCGACGGUACCUAAGGAAUAAGCACCGGCUAACUCCGUGCCAGCAGCCGCGGUAAUACGGAGGGUGCAAGCGUUAUCCGGAUUCACUGGGUUUAAAGGGUGUGUAGGCGGGCAAUUAAGUCAGUGGUGAAAUCUCCAGGCUCAACCUGGAAACUGCCAUUGAUACUAUUUGUCUUGAAUAUCGUUGAGGUAGGCGGAAUAUAUCAUGUAGCGGUGAAAUGCUUAGAUAUGAUAUAGAACACCGAUUGCGAAGGCAGCUUGCUAAACGAUCAUUGACGCUGAGGCACGAAAGCGUGGGGAUCAAACAG
RNAcentral lists this ribosomal RNA (440 nucleotides) under uncultured bacterium. Its description in RNAcentral is "bacterial SSU rRNA". It matches the Rfam family "Bacterial small subunit ribosomal RNA", at positions 338 to 775 of the family's 1533-position model. The record is from RNAcentral.